This 490-nucleotide ribosomal RNA is filed under the name uncultured bacterium. RNAcentral's name for it is "partial 16S ribosomal RNA". It matches the Rfam family "Bacterial small subunit ribosomal RNA", at positions 30 to 507 of the family's 1533-position model. The record is from RNAcentral.
AUUGAACGCUGGCGGCAUGCCUAACACAUGCAAGUCGAACGGUAACAGGAAGCGUCUUGCUGCUUUGCUGACGAGUGGCGGACGGGUGAGUAAUGUCUGGGAAACUGCCCGAUGGAGGGGGAUAACUACUGGAAACGGUAGCGAAUACCGCAUAACGUCGCAAGACCAAAGAGGGGGACCUUAGGGCCUCUUGCCUUCGGAUGUGCCCAGAUGGGAUUAGCUAGUAGGUGGGGUAACGGCUCACCUAGUAGACGAUCCCUAGCUGGACGGAGAGUAUGACCGGCCACACUGGAACUGAGACACGGUCCAGACUCCUAAGGGAGGCAGCAGUGGGGAAUAUUGCACAAUGGGCGCAAGCCUGAUGCAGCCAUGCCGCGUGUAUGAAGAAGGCCUUCGGGUUGUAAAGUACUUUAAGCGGGGAGGAAGGGAGUAAAGUUAAUACCUUAACACAUUGACGUUACCUGCAGAAGAAGCCCCGGCUAACUACGUG